AAAUAUGGUGACACUAGUAUGACAUACGGUUGAGAUGUAGAAGUACAUCGUCACUGAACAGGUGACUUAUCUGCUGAGCAUUCUGCUGUCAAGAGCUACUCACAAAGCAUGUGGGCAUAAGUAUCCCUCAGACCUGAGAUCAUCAUAGUGACUUGUAAGUAACUCACUGUGCUUUGAUGUCAGACUAUCUGGAUUUCUAAUGC
Molecule: long non-coding RNA, 203 nt
Filed under: Elaeis guineensis (African oil palm)
Lineage: Eukaryota; Viridiplantae; Streptophyta; Magnoliopsida; Arecales; Arecaceae
Description: long non-coding RNA (EGUI_LNC039152)
Source: RNAcentral